This 492-nucleotide ribosomal RNA is filed under the name uncultured bacterium. RNAcentral describes it as "partial 16S ribosomal RNA". It matches the Rfam family "Bacterial small subunit ribosomal RNA", at positions 29 to 507 of the family's 1533-position model. The record is from RNAcentral.
AGUGAACGCUGGCGGUAGGCCUAACACAUGCAAGUCGAACGGCAGCACAGUAAGAGCUUGCUCUUACGGGUGGCGAGUGGCGGACGGGUGAGGAGUACAUCGGAAUCUACUUUUUCGUGGGGGAUAACGUAGGGAAACUUACGCUAAUACCGCAUACGACCUACGGGUGAAAGCAGGGGAUCUUCGGACCUUGCGCGAUUGAAUGAGCCGAUGUCGGAUUAGCUAGUUGGCGGGGUAAAGGCCCACCAAGGCGACGAUCGGAAGCUGGUCUGAGAGGAUGGUCAGCCACACUGGAACUGAGACACGGCCCAGACUCUGACGGUAGGCAGCAGUGGGGAAUAUUGGACAAUGGGCGCAAGCCUGAUCCAGCCAUACCGCGUGGGUGAAGAAGGCCUUCGGGUUGUAAAGCCCUUUUGUUGGGAAAGAAAAGCAGCAGGUUAACACCCCGCUGUACUGACGGUACCCAAAGAAUAAGCACCGGCUAACUUCGUG